Molecule: long non-coding RNA, 440 nt
Filed under: Homo sapiens (human)
Lineage: Eukaryota; Metazoa; Chordata; Mammalia; Primates; Hominidae
Description: HSALNT0331213
Source: RNAcentral
CCAGAUCCGUGCUCCCGGUAUCCCAGUCAAGUUGGGUGAAUUCUCCCCUGAAAUUCUUCCAUCACUCCUGAAGCAAAGAGGCAAGCCUUGAUGAAACAAAAGGAGCCCAAGUUUUGAGAUCAGACAGACUUGGGUUUGAAUCUCAACACUAUCCCUUCCUGGCUGUGUGACUUUGGAUAAGACCCGUGAACUCCCUGAACCUGAGCUGCAACCGUAAGCCAGAACACAUAUAAAGUGCUGAAUAAAUGGCAGCUGUCAGAAUUCUUAUUUAAUAUGUGCAUCCCAUUGGGUUGUACAUUUCUGCUGAUGCAUCAUUUUUUUCUGAGAUUCCCCAAGGCUGGACUGUGUCUUGUUCAACUUUGUCUUCGCAGUGCCCCUUGAUAAGUAUAAGAAUGCGCUAAGAGUUGGAAGCAUGAAUAAAUCAUCUUGUACUUUUUUGA